This 404-nucleotide ribosomal RNA is filed under the name Actinomycetes bacterium. Its description in RNAcentral is "Actinobacteria bacterium partial 16S ribosomal RNA". It matches the Rfam family "Bacterial small subunit ribosomal RNA", at positions 355 to 776 of the family's 1533-position model. Lineage: Bacteria; Bacillati; Actinomycetota; Actinomycetes. The record is from RNAcentral.
UGGGGAAUAUUGGACAAUGGGCGCAAGCCUGAUCCAGCCAUGCCGCGUGAGUGAUGAAGGCCCUAGGGUUGUAAAGCUCUUUCACCGGUGAAGAUAAUGACGGUAACCGGAGAAGAAGCCCCGGCUAACUUCGUGCCAGCAGCCGCGGUAAUACGAAGGGGGCUAGCGUUGUUCGGAUUUACUGGGCGUAAAGCGCACGUAGGCGGACUAUUAAGUCAGGGGUGAAAUCCCGGGGCUCAACCCCGGAACUGCCUUUGAUACUGGUAGUGUUGAGUUCGAGAGAGGUGAGUGGAAUUCCGAGUGUAGAAGUGAAAUUCGUAGAUAUUCGGAGGAACACCAGUGGCGAAGGCGGCUCACUGGCUCGAUAAUGACGCUGAGGAGCGAAAGCGUGGGGAGCAAACAGG